CCCCUCUCUCUCCCUCCCACCGCGUUCUGCCCGAUCUGUUUCCUGCCUCGUGCUCCCAUCUAAUAAAAAACUAGAAAAAACCGGACUUAAAAAACCGAGGAGUGAAAAGAACCCCGGUCUGCCACCCCCGCACCACACAACCCUAAGCCUCCCCGAGCACCACUUCCGCCGCGCCGCCACAACCUCCACGCCUCCCCUGCGCCGCUCAUCGCUACCCCCGUCCCUGCCCCCGCCCCCGCCAUGGACGAGCGCUUCGCUGUCACCACCACCCCUCAUCUUCACCGCAGCCACAAGUCUUCCACCGCCGCCCCCGCCUCUUUACUAUCACCACUCGAUCCCAUCGAACCCGUCGGCACGAGCGAACGAUCCAGAAGCCGCCCCACCCACCCAUGGCGCGAGGCAAUCGGAGCGAGAGAGGAGGAGGAUGGCGAGGCGAGGCGGAAGGGGGACGAUGGGGAAGACACGGUGCGGAUGAAGAUGGUGGUGUACGCGCUGUCGCCGUUCUAGCAGAAGGUGAUGCCGAGGCUGUGGAAGGACAUCGCCACCAAGAUCCACCAUAAGGUCUCCGAGAACUGGAUCUCCGUCACACUCCUCCUCACCCCUAUCAUCGGUACCUACAAGUAAGCCCGUACCUCCCUCCGUUCACCCACUCCCCCCACCCCCUGCUGCUCGCCGGCGGUUCCUCUGUGCCGUGCAGAUCUCUGGCUAAAGCCACGCCUUUGAUCCCCCAGAUCCUCCUCCCCUCCUUUCCUCGCUCCAAUGCGCCGCUGCCAUCACUUGGAUGCUAAGGAUGGAUGUUGGCAUCGCCUCGCGGGACAGCUUGGUCUCCGCCGAGCUCGCAUACAGCCUGGGCUGGAUCCGGGACGGGUUCCUCAACCACGCCGAUUGUCUCCCUCUACCUCAUGCCCCAACGUGAUCUAGAUCUGUCGGCCGCUAUCGUGGCGGAUCUCCUCGACGCGGCCUAGGCUCGACAUCCUCCAGCCGCUGCGAAGUGGCGGUGCUCGGGGUUCGACUACUACGUGAUCGUCGGCAAUCGCUCGGGCGGAUCGGGCUACGGCCGCCGUUUGGGAGGUGGAGCACCAACGAGUAGCGGCCAUGCCUGACAGGUGACCUGGUGGAGGAGCUGUGGCGGACGCGCGAGCCCAUGGCGACCGCAGCGGCAAGCGAUCGAGGCUUCGAUACAAAUUUGUUUACCAAAUCAAGGAGUGGAUGCAUGGUAAUUGAGGUGGUCUUGCACAUGGGAGAUCACGGCUGCCGUGGCAUCGCUGAGCAGCAAAUUAGAUGUGUAGCUGCCUGACGGCAACUCUGCAGAAACAGGGGUGAAUGGAUUUAUUCAGUUUUUCAUUGUACAACAAGAUGCAAGUGCAGCCAGGGAAGAGGAAAGUGCUUCUCACUGUUUGUCUACCACCACCUAUGCUGCCCACUAAGGUUGUAAUUGCUCUUUGGUACUGGAUGCCAUGUUGUUGCUGCUGGACGUAGAAUGCCAAAGCAAGCUAGAAGAAUACUCCGAAUACGAUGGCCUCAGUCAGAGAGGAGCCUUGCAUAGAUGACGACGGCUGAGCUACCAUGUUGCAGCCGUGCUCACUGUCCUCGGUGCUGAUUCCUGGAUUCUGCUAGCAAAAUGAAAGUUUUCUCGAAAUGAACUAGAACAUUAUUCUCUUAUGUUGUGUCACAUAUUUUAUCCUUAUGGUACAAGAUAUUGCAUUUGGUUCUUAUAGUAGAGUUGUCGUGGAUGUUUGUUGUGGAUUAGCAAGCUUUGGUGUAUUAUACUCUCAUGUGAUGUGUUGAAAUUAUCCGUAUCUUCAAAAGAUAUUAAAGAGAUUCAGAUAGAGUGCUCUUCAAUUGUUACUCUGUUAGAUAGUUUAAGUGUAAAUAGAAAGGAUAAACGAAUCUGAUUGACAUGUUUAGAUGGUGUAAAUUUGGCUGUUUAGAUAGUUUAAUUUCCAUUUGGCUUGCAGUGCAACAUUCUGGUUGGACUGCAUAUCGGAGAAUCAUGGAAGGCAUGCAGGUUCAGGAACCAGCAUGUAAAUUCUUCUGACAGGAACAGGAAACUGUUGAUCACAUUUUUGCAUGCAUCUACUCCAAGCAAAAUUGUGUUGUGGUUCUAGGCUGGAUCAGAGUACCUCUUCCUGUUGAUGAGCAAUCUUGCGUGGAUUGGUGGUUAGCCCCUCCGAAACUGGUACCUGCAAGAACUAUGAAAGGCUUUGACUUCACCAUUCUUGUAGCUUGGUGAAUUGGAAGAGAACAUUAAAAUCUAUCACGACGCUUCUACAUAGAGUAUCGGGGUGAUUUUCCAGGCUGGAGAAAGACAUGUGCAGUUCUCUAGACAUGUUCUAAUCUCGAUAGUUCAGGCGAUUCAGAGUUGUUUUGGUAUUUUGUUAAAGAUUUAUGAUUUGCUUUAUUUAUAGGUUGAUUGGAUGUCUCAAACCCUGAAUAUAUAGACCAGUCCAGCAAGUUCUUCAGCACAAACCAAUGGAUGGGCCCUGCCAUGAUCAUGACAGAUCAUUCCCCCGUUCUCAUGUGUAUCAAUUAAUGUAUCAAUUAGUUUGUAUUUCAUCAUCCAUCUUAUUAGCUCUCUGCUUGCUUUUCUUUUCUUUUCUCAACCAUGAGAAAAAAACUAGAACAUUUCAUUUGGAUGAGGUUUAGUAGUGGGAAUGGAUAACAAUUGUUGCUGGCGAAGCGCGUACUUUCGAGGUUGGUCUAAGAAUCAUGCUCCCACAAACCUUCCCUGGAGGAGAUCGAGAAGUACAAGCACGAUUCUUUGACGCAAUGGUUUCAAUGACUCGGUUUGGGAAGUCUGAUUACUUUAUCACAAUGACAUGUAAUUCAUUUUGGAAGGAGAUAACAAGGCAACUAUUUUCGGACUAGACAUCACUGAGACAGAUCAAAACUUGUUGCGAGAAUACUAGAUGUAGAG
This is a long non-coding RNA of Phragmites australis (common reed), 2917 nucleotides long. RefSeq lists it as uncharacterized. The record is from RefSeq and is a predicted model, not a curated record. NCBI's taxonomy places the organism in Eukaryota, Viridiplantae, Streptophyta, Magnoliopsida, Poales, Poaceae. The transcript is spliced from 5 exons.